AAGCAAUGAUGAAAGCUGCGCAUCAGUGGUGAUGGGUCGCCAAUUCUCCCAGAUCUUGAUCGGACGAUAAACAGCGCAUCUGAGCUC
Molecule: small nucleolar RNA, 87 nt
Filed under: Ipomoea nil (Japanese morning glory)
Lineage: Eukaryota; Viridiplantae; Streptophyta; Magnoliopsida; Solanales; Convolvulaceae
Description: small nucleolar RNA snoR114
Rfam family: small nucleolar RNA snoR114
Source: Rfam by way of RNAcentral